UACAUUUAAAGUCUAAUAAGAAAAUAUAAAAAAGCGAGACUAUCACCGUCUUUGUGUCGUAUCUCACAACGGUCUUUGCGAUAUUGGUAUUGUUCAAAGCAAUGUGCGAUGUACGUUUCUGUCAUUCUCAUCAAAAUCUAUCUUUUUCUUUCUUUGGAACGGUGAUACUGAGUUUCUUCGAACACCAUCUUCAUCAUCGCCAGAUAAAUUGUUAGUAUGUCUGAUGGAGAGGGCACUUCAUGGAUAUUUUGGUUCACUAAUCUACGAGGGAACGAGUUCUUUUGUGAAUCUGCAUCUGAGUAAUCAAACUCUACCACUUUUACUCUAGUUCGGCCACCGUGUCGGACUAAAAUUUAAGGGGGUGUUAUUGGAUGGAGGUUUUUAAUGGAUUUGAAUUAUUAGUGGAUUUUAAAGUUCAAUAGAUUUCUAAUGCAUUAGACGAGGAUUUGAUGUCAUUAUAGGUGGAUUUGAAAAGCAUAACUGAUGGAUUUGAAAGUUACUACUAAUGGACUUUUUUUUUUUUAAUGUUGAAGGUAAAUAAAAAAUAUUACUUAUCUAUAAAUUGUGUUGUAAGGAACAUCGACGUACGCUUCCUCUCUUCCCUAUGCAUGGUGAAGAUCACAUAAAUGGUGCCAGCUGGAAGAAUGGCAAAUUGGACAGUCGUGAUUGACAGCUCCAAUGAUCUCCCAUACCGUCGAUGAACUAAGGAUGGCAAGUUCAACUGAACAUGAUGACGAUGAUGACGGUUAUGACGGUGAUGACGAUGAUGAUGACGGUUAUGACGGUGAUGACGAUGAUGACGA
Camelina sativa (false flax) is the source of this 803-nucleotide non-coding RNA. The record is from RefSeq and is a predicted model, not a curated record. NCBI's taxonomy places the organism in Eukaryota, Viridiplantae, Streptophyta, Magnoliopsida, Brassicales, Brassicaceae.